UCUCUUCCUCAUCCCCCUCCUCUACUGGGGUUUCUCUUCCACAUCCGCUUCCUUCUGUGUCUUUCCAUCCUUUACCUUAGGUGAUGUCUCUUCCUCCAUCUCCCAUCGACAUUUCCCGAUUCUCAAAUCUUCCUCACUGUUUGACUUCUCCCCUUCACACCUGCCCUUUCCGACUGUCUCACGUCAGGAACACUUUUCUAACCAUUGGGGAAUGAGAGAGAAUAUGUGGAGUUUACAGGGUCACACCGACAGACGAAAUUACUGACAUUCGGUGAAUUCAUUGGAGCUGGGCAGUGAGGGACAUUGACAGUGAUGGGAUCUACGAUCAGUGAAUUACUGAAGGGUUUAAUGUUCCCUGAAAUAUCCGGGUGAGAGAAAUGCCCUCAGACGGACGAUUUUAAUCACAAUGUUCAUCAAUUUGUCUGUUUGUGUUUAGUCUGAACAAUAAUGAACUGGGGGAUUCAGGAGUGAAACUGGUGUCUGCGGCUCUGAGGAACCCGGAGUGUAAAAUACAGAGACUGUGGCUGGGGUAUGUCGGUCUCACAGAUUCUGGUGCCGAGGAUCUCGUCUCCGCUCUCAGUACAAACCCAUCACUGACGGUGCUGAACCUGAGUGGUAAUAAACUGGGGGAUUCAGGAGUGAAACUGGUGUCUGCGGCUCUGAGGAACCCGGAGUGUAAAAUACAGAGACUGGAGCUGAUCCGUGUCGGUCUCACAGAUUCUGGUGCCGAGGAUCUCGUCUCCGCUCUCAGUACAAACCCAUCACUGACGGAUCUGAACCUGGGAUCAAACUCUCUGACAGACCGAUCUGUCCCCGCUCUCCGCCGCCUCAUACUGACCCUCCCGAUUCUGGAGCGGAUCCGGUGAGUGUUUGUGUUAAUGUUCAAUGUGAUAAAAUAUCAGCGGAUCCGCGGGUUUUCUGGUGAUAUUUGUCUGUGAGUGUUGUUGAAACAUUAACCCCGGUCCCCUGUUACUGACACUGUUGUGUGAUCUGUUUAUUUCAUCUUUAUUCUCCCAUCUGUUUCAGGCUGGCGGGGAAUCAGUUCAGUGAGACCGGGAGGAAGGAAUUGAGAUCUCUACAGGAACCCAGACCCAGACUGAGAGUGGAUCUGUGAACAUCUGAAUGUGGUGAAUCGGUUCAGUGAGACCGGGAUGAAGGAACUGAGAUCUCUACAGGAACCCAGACCCGGACUGAUGGUGGAUCUGUGAACAUCUGAAUGUGGGGAAUCGGUUCAGUGAGACCGGGAUGAAGGAACUGAGAUCUCUACAGGAACCCAGACCCGGACUGAGAGUGGAUCUGUGAACAUCUGAAUGUGGUGAAUCGGUUCAGUGAGACCGGGAUGAAGGAACUGAGAUCUCUACAGGAACCCAGACCCGGACUGAUGGUGGAUCUGUGAACAUCUGAAUGUGGGGAAUCGGUUCAGUGAGACCGGGAUGAAGGAACUGAGAUCUCUACAGGAACCCAGACCCGGACUGAUGGUGGAUCUGUGAACAUCUGAAUGUGGGGAAUCGGUUCAGUGAGACCGGGAUGAAGGAACUGAGAUCUCUACAGGAACCCAGACCCGGACUGAGAGUGGAUCUGUGAACAUCUGAAUGUGGGGAAUCGGUUCAGUGAGACCGGGAUGAAGGAACUGAGAUCUCUACAGGAACCCAGACCCGGACUGAUGGUGGAUCUGUGAACAUCUGAAUGUGGGGAAUCGGUUCAGUGAGACCGGGAUGAAGGAACUGAGAUCUCUACAGGAACCCAGACCCGGACUGAUGGUGGAUCUGUGAACAUCUGAAUGUGGGGAAUCGGUUCAGUGAGACCGGGAUGAAGGAACUGAGAUCUCUACAGGAACCCAGACCCGGACUGAUGGUGGAUCUGUGAACAUCUGAAUGUGGGGAAUCGGUUCAGUGAGACCGGGAUGAAGGAACUGAGAUCUCUACAGGAACCCAGACCCGGACUGAUGGUGGAUCUGUGAACAUCUGAAUGUGGGGAAUCGGUUCAGUGAGACCGGGAUGAAGGAACUGAGAUCUCUACAGGAACCCAGACCCGGACUCAGAGUGGAUCUGUGAACAUCUGAAUGUGGUGAAUCGGUUCAGUGAGACCGGGAUGAAGGAACUGAGAUCUCUACAGGAACCCAGACCCGGACUGAUGGUGGAUCUGUGAACAUCUGAAUGUGGGGAAUCGGUUCAGUGAGACCGGGAUGAAGGAACUGAGAUCUCUACAGGAACCCAGACCCGGACUGAGAGUGGAUCUGUGAACAUCUGAAUGUGGGGAAUCGGUUCAGUGAGACCGGGAUGAAGGAACUGAGAUCUCUACAGGAACCCAGACCCGGACUGAUGGUGGAUCUGUGAACAUCUGAAUGUGGGGAAUCGGUUCAGUGAGACCGGGAUGAAGGAACUGAGAUCUCUACAGGAACCCAGACCCGGACUGAUGGUGGAUCUGUGAACAUCUGAAUGUGGGGAAUCGGUUCAGUGAGACCGGGAUGAAGGAACUGAGAUCUCUACAGGAACCCAGACCCGGACUGAGAGUGGAUCUAUGAACAUCUGAAUGUGGUGAAUCGGUUCAGUGAGACCGGGAUGAAGGAACUGAGAUCUCUACAGGAACCCAGACCCGGACUGAUGGUGGAUCUGUGAACAUCUGAAUGUGGGGAAUCGGUUCAGUGAGACCGGGAUGAAGGAACUGAGAUCUCUACAGGAACCCAGACCCGGACUGAGAGUGGAUCUGUGAACAUCUGAAUGUGGGGAAUCGGUUCAGUGAGACCGGGAUGAAGGAACUGAGAACUCUACAGGAACCCAGACCCGGACUGAUGGUGGAUCUGUGAACAUCUGAAUGUGGGGAAUCGGUUCAGUGAGACCGGGAUGAAGGAACUGAGAUCUCUGCAGGAACCCAGACCCGGACUGAGAGUGGAUCUGUGAACAUCUGAAUGUGGGGAAUCGGUUCAGUGAGACCGGGAUGAAGGAACUGAGAUCUCUACAGGAACCCAGACCCGGACUGAGAGUGGAUCUGUGAACAUCUGAAUGUGGUGAAUCGGUUCAGUGAGACCGGGGAGAAGGAACUGAGAUCUCUACAGGAACCCAGACCCGGACUGAGAGUGGAUCUGUGAACAUCUGAAUGUGGUGAAUCGGUUCAGUGAGACCGGGAUGAAGGAACUGAGAUCUCUACAGGAACCCAGACCCGGACUGAUGAUGGAUCUGUGAACAUCUGAAUGUGGGGAAUCGGUUCAGUGAGACCGGGAUGAAGGAACUGAGAUCUCUACAGGAACCCAGACCCGGACUGAUGGUGGAUCUGUGAACAUCUGAAUGUGGUGAAUCGGUUCAGUGAGACCGGGAUGAAGGAACUGAGAUCUCUACAGGAACCCAGACCCGGACUGAUGGUGGAUCUGUGAACAUCUGAAUGUGGGGAAUCGGUUCAGUGAGACCGGGAUGAAGGAACUGAGAUCUCUACAGGAACCCAGACCCGGACUGAUGGUGGAUCUGAAUGUGUGAACAUCCCCGCCCGCGGGAUGGGGACAUUUGGCCGACUCCCCGCCCUCCCCUUUAACUCCCGCCCUCCCCUUUAACGGCCGCGCGCCGGGGCUGAUUCCCAACGGUUUUAACGGAACCGGCUCGGGCCUCGCGCUGUGUGCGUCGCUCGCAGCGGUCCCGCAGUGACGUGUUUCCGCCUGUUGUCCGGCGGGGUAGCAUCCGCCGGAAGUGCGUGGAGGAGACUCCCCACGUGACUCCCCGGGGAAUUACCCGGACAGGAAGAGCCCGGGGUCCGGGGUUCAGUCUGGGACACCGGUGUCCCGGGGUGGGGGGGAUGGUCCCGGGAGAGAAUCCUUUUGCCCCCUUUGCUGAGGACGGAGCAUUCGGCAGCCUGGCCGAUAUAAUGAUGUUAAAUGGACAAAUCCCUCGGCAGUGACCCUGGAUCUGCAGCGAUCCCGGACACGGCCCUGAAGUGUGAUUUUAUAAUCAGUUUUAUAAUUUUAUAAUCAGUUCCCCGAUGCAGAGUGACGGUGAGAAACGGGACUGGUUAUUAUUCAACCGGUCACCCCUUGUCGCCGGUCAGUUAAUUGUGUGUGACUGUCAGCAGAUUAUUUAUUACCGCACGUUAGCAGCUCACACAUUGUUUCAUUGAUAUUUCUCAUAAAAAUCAAUAAACCACUGUAUCUUCCUGU
Molecule: long non-coding RNA, 4141 nt
Organism: Hypanus sabinus (Atlantic stingray)
Lineage: Eukaryota; Metazoa; Chordata; Chondrichthyes; Myliobatiformes; Dasyatidae
Exons: 3
Source: RefSeq, a predicted model, not a curated record